AUUGAACGCUGGCGGCAUGCCUUACACAUGCAAGUCGAACGGUAACAGGUCUUCGGAUGCUGACGAGUGGCGAACGGGCGAGUAAUACAUCGGACCGUGCCUAGUAGUGGGGGAUAACUACUCGAAAGAGUGGCUAAUACCGCAUGAGAUCUACGGAUGAAAGCAGGGGAUCGCAAGACCUUGUGCUACUAGAGCGGCCGAUGGCAGAUUAGGUAGUUGGUGGGAUAAAAGCUUACCAAGCCAACGAUCUGUAGCUGGUCUGAGAGGACGAGCAGCCACACUGGGACUGAGACACGGCCCAGACUCCUACGGGAGGCAGCAGUGGGGAAUUUUGGACAAUGGGCGAAAGCCUGAUCCAGCAAUGCCGCGUGCAGGAUGAAGGCCUUCGGGUUGUAAACUACUUUUGUACGGAACGAAAAGCCCCGGGUUAAUACCCUGGGGUCAUGACGGUACCGUAAGAAUAAGCACCGGCUAACUACGUGCCAGCAGCCGCCGUAA
RNAcentral lists this ribosomal RNA (498 nucleotides) under uncultured bacterium. RNAcentral's name for it is "partial 16S ribosomal RNA". It matches the Rfam family "Bacterial small subunit ribosomal RNA", at positions 30 to 523 of the family's 1533-position model. The record is from RNAcentral.